AGGACGUGGCUGAGAUAGACAAGCAUCUCCCUUACACCGAGAAGACAUCCAUGCAAAUUGGAUCAUCCUGA
Molecule: transfer RNA, 71 nt
Filed under: Metaloricaria paucidens
Lineage: Eukaryota; Metazoa; Chordata; Actinopteri; Siluriformes; Loricariidae
Description: tRNA-Val
Source: RNAcentral